RNAcentral lists this long non-coding RNA (2010 nucleotides) under Anas platyrhynchos platyrhynchos (common mallard). RNAcentral describes it as "lncRNA (ENSAPLG00000020818.1)". The record is from RNAcentral. Lineage: Eukaryota; Metazoa; Chordata; Aves; Anseriformes; Anatidae.
CACCUCCUUGGUGGCCUCAACCCUUGGUGGCCUCAACCCUUGGUGGCCUCCUAAAUGGUGUCACCCCCCUGGUGACCUCCUUGGUGGCCUCCUCAUUAAUGUCACCUCCUUGGUGGCCUCAACCCUUGGGCCUCCACUGUGAUGUCACCUCCUUGGUGGCCUCCCUGACAGUGUCACCUCCUUGGUGACCUCCAUGAUGGCCUCAACCCUUGGCCUCCUCACUGAUGUCACCUCCCUGGUGGCCUCCCAAUCAAUGUCACCUCCCCGGUGGCCUCAACCCUUGGUGGCCUCCUCCUUGAUGUCACCUCCCUGGCAAUGUCACCUCCUUGGUGGCCUCACCCCUUGGUGGCCUCCUGGUGGUGUCACCUCCUCGGUGGCCUCCUUGGUGGCCUCAACCCUUGGUGGCCUCCCUGGUGGCCUCCCAAUCAAUGUCACCUCCUUGGUGGCCUCACCCCUUGGUGGCCUCCUCCUUGAUGUCACCUCCCCGGUGGCCUCCACCCCCCCCUUGGUGGCCUCGUGGCCUCGCUUCUGGAACCUUCUCCCGGCGCCGGAGGUCGGACAUUUUUUUUGGGGGGGGGUGGGGGAGGGGAGGCUCGUUAGGGCCCCCCCCCUCGUUAGCGGGGCCUCGUUAAUUAAUUAAUUAAUUAAUUAAAGCUGCAGCCGGCGCUGAGGGGAGAGGCUUUAUUGGGGGGGGGGGAGGGGGGGNNNNNNNNNNNNNNNNNNNNNNNNNNNNNNNNNNNNNNNNNNNNNNNNNNNNNNNNNNNNNNNNNNNNNNNNNNNNNNNNNNNNNNNNNNNNNNNNNNNNGGGGGGGGGGGGGUUGGGCACGAAAUGCGUCGUUGGCCUCCUGGGGCCUUCAUCUUCAUCAUCAUCUUCAUCCCCAGGGCCUUCAUCAUCAUCCCUGUGGCCUUCAUCUUCUUCCUCAUCAUCAUCUUCCUCCUCCUCUGAGCCUUCAUCUUCAUCAUCAUCGUCGUCAUCUUCAUCAUCUUCCUCCUCGGAGCCUUCAUCUUCCUCCUCCUCCUCAUCGUCUUCAUCCCCAGGGCCUUCAUCUUCCUCAUCAUCGUCUUCCUCCUCCUCGUGGCCUUCAUCUUCAUCCCCAGGGCCUUCAUCUGCAUCCUCCUCCUCCUCUGAGCCUUCAUCUUCCUCCUCCUCCUCAUCAUCUUCAUCUCCGGGGCCUUCAUCAUCAUCAUCAUCUUCCUCCCCGGGGCCUUCAUCUUCAUCAUCAUCCUCUUCGGGGCCUUCAUCUUCUUCCUUGCGGCCUUCAUCUUCCUCCUCCUCAUCAUCAUCUUCCUCCUCGGAGCCUUCAUCUUCCUCCCCGUCCUCCUCUUCGGAGGCUCCAAGGUCACCUUCCUCCUCCUCACCAUCCUCUUCCUCCUCCUCCUCCUCUUCCUCUCCGGCCUCAGUUCCUUCGGCCUCACCCUCACCUUCCUCCUCCUCCUCCUCCUCUUCCUCCUUAGGGCCUUCAUCUUCCUCCUUGGGGGCCUUCAUCUUCCUCUUUGGGCCCUUCAUCCUCUUCCUCACAGCCUCCAUCUUCCUCCCCACCCUCCUCUUCCUCAGGGCCUUCCUCCCUCACCUCCUUCCUACUCCUCAUCACUUCCCGCCUCCUCCUCCUCCUCCUCCUCGGGGCCUUCAUCACCUUCCUCCUCCUCCUCCUCCUCCUCUUCCUCCUCCUCAGGGCCCCCAUCCUCAUUUUCGGGGUCCUCAUCCUCAUUUUCGGGGCCUCCAUCCCCAUUUUUGGGGCCCCCAUCCUCCUCUUCUUGGCCUUCCUCUUCAUUUUCGGGGCCCCCAUCCUCAUUUUCGGGGCCCUCAUCCCCAUUUUUGGGGCCCCCCUCUUCAUUUUCGGGGCCCUCAUCCUCAUUUUUGGGGCCUUCAUCCUCUUUUUGGUCUUCAUCCUCUUCUUUUUGGCCUUCUUCCUCCUCUUUUUGUCCUCCAUCCUCAUUUUCGGGGCCUCCGUCUUCAUUUUUGGGGCCUCCGUCUUCAUUUUUGGGGCCUCCGUCUUCAUUUUUGGGGCC